ACCGGGAUGGCUGCUGGUUGCCCGCGUGGUCUCAUAAGCCAUGCUACGCAGGUUCGAUUCCUGCUCCCGGCA
Molecule: transfer RNA, 72 nt
Filed under: marine sediment metagenome
Description: tRNA-OTHER
Rfam family: tRNA
About the family: Transfer RNA (tRNA) molecules are approximately 80 nucleotides in length. Their secondary structure includes four short double-helical elements and three loops (D, anti-codon, and T loops). Further hydrogen bonds mediate the characteristic L-shaped molecular structure. tRNAs have two regions of fundamental functional importance: the anti-codon, which is responsible for specific mRNA codon recognition, and the 3' end, to which the tRNAs corresponding amino acid is attached (by aminoacyl-tRNA synthetases). tRNAs cope with the degeneracy of the genetic code in two manners: having more than one tRNA (with a specific anti-codon) for a particular amino acid; and 'wobble' base-pairing, i.e. permitting non-standard base-pairing at the 3rd anti-codon position.
Source: RNAcentral